UUUGUUAUUUGGUUGUUAGUUUGACUGUUACAUCGUUGAAUGUUUUCGCUCUCUUCCUGGUUGUAGUUUGUCCCAUGUUAAAGAGGUGACAGUUCCGAUAUUUUUUUCUCUGCCGAAACCUGCUGUUAGUAUUAAUCCUAUAUCGAUGGUGCAGGCAAGUUAGCUCAUCUCUUUUCUUUUUUUCCCCACAACAUUAAUCUUAUGACUUCAAUGAUGUGAUAAUGCAACGCAGUAAAAUCCGAGGAGAGUUUUAUCCGACAGUAUCAAUUGUGUUCAUAUUCUGAUGCCAUUGUUGCUAACCAGAAAAGUUGAGAAACUACCCUUUCGAACGUUUUUGGUCGCCUCUAAACUCGAUUUUUUUUCACGGUGUUUUGUAACUUGGGAUAUUUGUAAAGUUAUGGCAAGUCAAAAAAACUACUGACGUUCAUCUUUUUCUAAACCACGGGUUUGUAUGAAUAUUGUUAACCCAACAACAUGAGAAGUCGAAGCAACUCGGGGGUCAAACUUGACAACUACGCUCGGAUAGUACAUCAAACCAUACUUCAGUAUCAAGACCCAGUGACUGGUCUCCUCCCGGCCAGUGGAGAGCAGCCUGAUGCAUGGGUUAGAGACAACGUCUACAGCAUCCUGUCAGUCUGGGCUCUCAGUCUGGCCUACAGGAAGAAUGCUGACAGAGAUGAAGACAAGGCCAAGGCCUAUGAAUUGGAACAGAGUGUGGUAAAGCUAAUGAGGGGUGUUCUACAAUGCAUAAUGAGACAGCUGGACAAGGUGGAGAAGUUUAAGUACAGCAAGAGCACAGUCGACUGCCUCCAUGCUAAGUACAACACCAGGACAUGCGCUACCGUUGUCGGGGACGAUCAAUGGGGGCACCUGCAGGUGGAUGCUACCUCCUUGUUCCUGUUGUUCCUCGCACAGAUGACAGCCUCUGGACUUCACAUCGUGUACACUCAGGACGAGGUGGAUGUGGUCCAGAACCUCAUGUUCUACAUCGAGGCUGCUUACAAAGUGGCUGACUAUGGGAUGUGGGAGAGAGGCGACAAGACAAACCAGGGGAUCCCUGAGCUUAAUGCUAGCUCCAUUGGCAUGGCUAAAGCAGCCCUGGAAGCCCUGGAUGAGCUGAACCUGUUUGGAGCUAAAGGAGGACCUGGUUCUGUGGUGCAUGCUCUGGCUGACGACAUACAGCACUGUCAGUCUAUCCUCAACUCCAUGCUUCCCAGGGCAUCUAUGUCUAAAGAGGUGGAUGCUGGAGUUCUGUCCAUCAUCACAUACCCAGCUUUCGCUGUAGAGGACAUCUCUAUAGUCAACACCACCAAGGAGGAGAUCAUAUCCAAGCUACAGGGUCGAUAUGGAUGCUGUAGGUUUCUCAGGGAUGGACACAAAACCCCUAAAGAAGACCCUAAUCGUCUGUACUAUGAGUCAGCUGAGUUGAAGCUGUUUGAGAACAUAGAGUGUGAAUGGCCUCUGUUUUGGACCUACCUCAUACUGGAUGGAGUCUUUACCAACAGUCCCGAACAGGUUGAGGAAUACAGAGAAGCUCUGGAUGGGAUUCUAAUUAAACAGAAGAAUGGGAUCCAUCUGCUACCAGAGCUUUACAGCGUUCCACCUGACAGGGUGGAUGAGGAGUAUUUGAACCCACACUCUGUGGAGAGAGUCCCCCUGGGGAAGCUCCCUUUGAAGUGGGGACAGUCUCUGUAUGUCCUGGGCAAUCUACUAGCAGAGGGUUUCCUGGCCCCUGGUGAGAUAGACCCUCUCAACCGACGUUUCUCCACUAUCCCAAAGCCUGACGUUGUGGUGCAGGUGUCUAUUCUGGCAGAGAACGAGGAGAUCAAGGCGUUGCUGAUGAAGAACGGGAUAGAGGUGCAGACAGUAGCCGACAUCCACCCCAUCCACGUCCAGCCUGCUAGGGUGCUCAGCCACAUCUAUGCACGCCUGGGGCGUAAUCAGAGGUUAGGGCUGACCGGUAGACCAUACAGGAGGAUUGGAUGUCUCGGGACCUCUAAGUUCUAUGUCAUUCGCAAAACCAUCUUCGCCUUCACACCACAGUUCAUAGACCAUCAGCAGUUUUACUUGGCGUUGGACAACCAAAUGAUUGUGGACAUGCUUCGUACAGACCUCUCCUACCUCUCCUCUCGUUGGAGGAUGACUGGAAGACCCACCGUCACCUUUCCCAUAUCACAGACCAUGUUGACUGAAGACCACUCAGACCUAGACCCUGCGGUCCUGGCCACUCUGAAGAAGCUACAGGAUGGGUACUAUGGUGGAGCAAGGAUCCAGACGGGGAAGCUCUCUGAGUUUCUGACCACUUCCUGUUUUGCCAAGCUUAGCUUCCUGGAUGGUGGUAAGCAUGCUGGAAUGGCAGGACAUGACGAUGAGGAUGACGAAGACCAUGGCUUGACCUUCGAUGGUGAGGCUGAUGAUCUUACUGAGUACCUGGACCAGUUGUUGACCAUAGCAAACCCCAGCAGAGGGUUAAAGGUCAGGAGUGUUUCCAGACGGCGGCAGAUGUUCAAGGAAGCAGCCACUAAGACCAAGGACAUGUUGUCCCUCAUGCAGAAGGCCACAGAACUAAACCUGCUAAAUGCAAACAUGUAUUUGCCCACCAAGCUGUUUCAUUCUCCUCAGCCCUCCCUGCACCUCAACCUUACAGACUCAACUUUGCCUCACACCGGUCAGGCCAUGGUGGCCUCGGAAUGUCACCUGCCCUUAGAUGCCAGUGGGGGCAUAGACUACAAUGUUCUGGUACAGCUACUAGGAGACACGCGGAGUCUUCAGGACCAGGCGGACAUUUUGUACAUCCUCUUCAAAGACAAGGGUAUGGAAUGGGACACCAGGCUACAUGGGACGGGCUCUACAGUCUGCUCCCUGUUGACAGACCUCUAUGAAAAGGCAGGAGACCUCAAACACUGGGGUCUCAUACGGAUGAUCUCUGGAAUGCUGAAGAAGAAAGUAGAGGAACUUGACUGGGCCUGCUCUGAUUUGCUGGCCCACCAGAAGCAUCUAACAGUGGGUCUGCCUCCAGAACCUCGGGAGAAGACAAUCACAGCACCGAUUCCUCCAGACAAGCUUGCCAAGCUGAUAGAUGAAGCCAGUGAGAACAACAUCACUAUAGCCAUCCUCACACAGGAGAUCAUGGUGUACUUGGCAAUGAACAUGCGUACCCAGCCAAACCUGUUCAGUGAGAUGUUCCGCCUGCGUAUCGGACUCAUCAUUCAGGUGAUGGCCACCGAGCUUGCACAGUCUCUCAACUGCUCAGGAGAGGAGGCUACAGAGAGUCUGAUGAGUCUGAGCCCAUCAGAACUGAAGGUCCUACUGCAUCACAUUCUCAGUGGGAAGGAGUUCGGAGUGCAGAGGAGUGUGCGUUCUGUAGAUGCAGGUGCCAGUCCUGCAAUCUCAAUCCACGAGAUGGGUAAUGUAGGUGCCACCAAAAGUGAAAGGGCGGGCAUCAGCAAGCUGAAGAGUGACAUGAGGAUGUUGGAGGAACGCAGGUUAUCAUGGUUGGAGCAGAUACAGAGUCUAAGACCACACUCUCUAGACAUGGAUAACAUUGGAUCUGGGAGGUACAAGCUCCCUUCAAUAGAGUCUCUGGACAUCCCAGAGAGCACUCCCAUAGUCAAGGAUACGAGGCACGGCCAGUGGCUCCGUAGGAGGCGUCUAGAUGGAGCACUCAACAGAGUCCCUGUAGGCUUCUAUCAGAAGGUCUGGAAGAUUCUACAAAAGCACACUAUCGUUUCUCCUUGCAGUGUCAUGGUCUGUCCAUUGAGGGAUUUGUUCUCCCAUCUUCAACAACAAGAGAGAUGACAGUAGAUGAAAUCAAGUUUGCCGUGCACGUGGAGACCGUGUUGAACCGUGUGCCCCAGCCGGAGUACCGCCAGCUGCUAGUGGAGGCCAUCUUAGUCCUCACCAUGCUGGCGGACGUGGAGAUAGAGAGUGUCGGCAGCAUCAUCCACGUGGAGAAGAUUGUCCAUAUUGCCAAUGACAUGUUCUACCAUGACCAGAAGGAUUUGGGAGCAGAGAAGCACAUCUUAGAGAGGGACCCCUCCACCGGAGUGUGCCGCCUGCUUUAUGAUAGCGCACCAAGUGGACGCUUUGGCAGCAUGACUUACCUCACCAGGGCUGUGGCUGUCUAUGUGCAGGACUUUCUGCCUGGGGGCUCCUGUGCACUGCAGUAGACACUAACAUGUAUGCACGCACACACACACACACACACACACUUGUCUGAUCUGCGCAGGCAUAAACAGAUUGUGUUGACAGAAAAGCCUUUCUUUUAGUGUUUGUUGGAAAAACCAGCGUGGCAACUUUUUGCAUCCAACAUGGACUAACAGUGACUCUGUUUGCACUACUGCUCACAUGCCACCCUAUCAAUAGCAAAUGGUUAUCAUAGCAAGUUUACAGUUAUGUUUGAUGCUUUGAUUUGUUGAGAUGACUACCAGGAAUAAUGUGAGUAAUUUAUCAAAAUCCCUAUCGAGGUCUGAUGUAGCCUGUGAUCUGAAGUUGAUGAAGAUUGUAGCUUAGUGUUUUCCAAUCCUGCUCCUAGGGAUCUAAAAGGGCAACCAUUUUGUUUUUUGCACUAGCUCUUAACAAGCUUGAUACAACGGCACAAUUUGUACCUGCUAAAAUAUGCACCCCUUUUGUUUCCUCAGGACCAGAAUUUAAAAGCACUGCUGAUGUCACCUGGGUUGUAUGGAAUUCAGAUGUUUUUAUUGUGAAUUUUUCAGAUAUGCUUUACCUAACAAAAGCCUUGCAUAUUAGUAAUAAAGGUAAUAUGUUUUGGGGAUUUACUUAGUUUCUGUUUGUACUACUUUGUAUCAUGCAAAUGUGAAUGUUCUAACAUAAUAUGCUACAUAGAUUUUAUUUGUUUGGUAAUUCCAAAAAUAUAUAAAUUUUGCCCUACAAAUGUUUUCUUUAACAUUUAUAAUGGUUAAGACUAAAACUUAUGUAACCUUGCAAGUAUUAGAUCAGUAUAAGAGUAUGUAAUUGUCAACAGAAAUGAAUGUAACUGAUGCUGUAUGUGUCCCAAAUAGUGCUUUUUUAUGUUGUAGUGCACUACACUAUAGGGGCACCACACUGUAGGCUUGAAAUAGUCCAUAAAUAGCAACUUAUCAAACAAUAUGCUCAGUGUUUACUCAAAACACACACAAAAAGAUUUCACAUUUAAAAACUAGAAUUUGGAUUAGAAUAAAAAUUCUGAAAUAGAA
This is an RNA transcript of Esox lucius (northern pike), 5195 nucleotides long. It is a transcript of the gene named phosphorylase kinase, alpha 1a (muscle), with no coding region annotated. The transcript is spliced from 34 exons. NCBI's taxonomy places the organism in Eukaryota, Metazoa, Chordata, Actinopteri, Esociformes, Esocidae. The record is from RefSeq and is a predicted model, not a curated record.